AAUGGGUCAGCGACUUAUAUUCUGUAGCAAGGUUAACCGAAUAGGGGAGCCGAAGGGAAACCGAGUCUUAACUGGGCGUUAAGUUGCAGGGUAUAGACCCGAAACCCGGUGAUCUAGCCAUGGGCAGGUUGAAGGUUGGGUAACACUAACUGGAGGACCGAACCGACUAAUGUUGAAAAAUUAGCGGAUGACUUGUGGCUGGGGGUGAAAGGCCAAUCAAACCGGGAGAUAGCUGGUUCUCCCCGAAAGCUAUUUAGGUAGCGCCUCGUGAAUUCAUCUCCGGGGGUAGAGCACUGUUUCGGCAAGGGGGUCAUCCCGACUUACCAACCCGAUGCAAACUGCGAAUACCGGAGAAUGUUAUCACGGGAGACACACGGCGGGUGCUAACGUCCGUCGUGAAGAGGGAAACAACCCAGACCGCCAGCUAAGGUCCCAAAGUCAUGGUUAAGUGGGAAACGAUGUGGGAAGGCCCAGACAGCCAGGAUGUUGGCUUAGAAGCAGCCAUCAUUUAAAGAAAGCGUAAUAGCUCACUGGUCGAGUCGGCCUGCGCGGAAGAUGUAACGGGGCUAAACCAUGCACCGAAGCUGCGGCAGCGACGCUUAUGCGUUGUUGGGUAGGGGAGCGUUCUGUAAGCCUGCGAAGGUGUGCUGUGAGGCAUGCUGGAGGUAUCAGAAGUGCGAAUGCUGACAUAAGUAACGAUAAAGCGGGUGAAAAGCCCGCUCGCCGGAAGACCAAGGGUUCCUGUCCAACGUUAAUCGGGGCAGGGUGAGUCGACCCCUAAGGCGAGGCCGAAAGGCGUAGUCGAUGGGAAACAGGUUAAUAUUCCUGUACUUGGUGUUACUGCGAAGGGGGGACGGAGAAGGCUAUGUUGGCCGGGCGACGGUUGUCCCGGUUUAAGCGUGUAGGCUGGUUUUCCAGGCAAAUCCGGAAAAUCAAGGCUGAGGCGUGAUGACGAGGCACUACGGUGCUGAAGCAACAAAUGCCCUGCUUCCAGGAAAAGCCUCUAAGCAUCAGGUAACAUCAAAUCGUACCCCAAACCGACACAGGUGGUCAGGUAGAGAAUACCAAGGCGCUUGAGAGAACUCGGGUGAAGGAACUAGGCAAAAUGGUGCCGUAACUUCGGGAGAAGGCACGCUGAUAUGUAGGUGAAGCGACUUGCUCGUGGAGCUGAAAUCAGUCGAAGAUACCAGCUGGCUGCAACUGUUUAUUAAAAACACAGCACUGUGCAAACACGAAAGUGGACGUAUACGGUGUGACGCCUGCCCGGUGCCGGAAGGUUAAUUGAUGGGGUUAGCGGUAACGCGAAGCUCUUGAUCGAAGCCCCGGUAAACGGCGGCCGUAACUAUAACGGUCCUAAGGUAGCGAAAUUCCUUGUCGGGUAAGUUCCGACCUGCACGAAUGGCGUAAUGAUGGCCAGGCUGUCUCCACCCGAGACUCAGUGAAAUUGAACUCGCUGUGAAGAUGCAGUGUACCCGCGGCAAGACGGAAAGACCCCGUGAACCUUUACUAUAGCUUGACACUGAACAUUGAGCCUUGAUGUGUAGGAUAGGUGGGAGGCUUUGAAGUGUGGACGCCAGUCUGCAUGGAGCCGACCUUGAAAUACCACCCUUUAAUGUUUGAUGUUCUAACGUUGGCCCCUGAUCGGGGUUGCGGACAGUGUCUGGUGGGUAGUUUGACUGGGGCGGUCUCCUCCUAAAGAGUAACGGAGGAGCACGAAGGUUGGCUAAUCCUGGUCGGACAUCAGGAGGUUAGUGCAAUGGCAUAAGCCAGCUUGACUGCGAGCGUGACGGCGCGAGCAGGUGCGAAAGCAGGUCAUAGUGAUCCGGUGGUUCUGAAUGGAAGGGCCAUCGCUCAACGGAUAAAAGGUACUCCGGGGAUAACAGGCUGAUACCGCCCAAGAGUUCAUAUCGACGGCGGUGUUUGGCACCUCGAUGUCGGCUCAUCACAUCCUGGGGCUGAAGUAGGUCCCAAGGGUAUGGCUGUUCGCCAUUUAAAGUGGUACGCGAGCUGGGUUUAGAACGUCGUGAGACAGUUCGGUCCCUAUCUGCCGUGGGCGCUGGAGAACUGAGGGGGGCUGCUCCUAGUACGAGAGGACCGGAGUGGACGCAUCACUGGUGUUCGGGUUGUCAUGCCAAUGGCACUGCCCGGUAGCUAAAUGCGGAAGAGAUAAGUGCUGAAAGCAUCUAAGCACGAAACUUGCC
This 2201-nucleotide ribosomal RNA is filed under the name Escherichia coli. RNAcentral describes it as "partial 23S ribosomal RNA". It matches the Rfam family "Bacterial large subunit ribosomal RNA", at positions 614 to 2798 of the family's 2925-position model. The record is from RNAcentral. Lineage: Bacteria; Pseudomonadati; Pseudomonadota; Gammaproteobacteria; Enterobacterales; Enterobacteriaceae.